GACUCGAUGGCGGAUGGCCUGCGCCUGCGCUUCUCACACCGAAUUUCAAAGAUAUCCGCAGUAGUCGCCUGUUCGAAUCAGGCUCGAGUUG
This is a non-coding RNA of Mycena latifolia, 91 nucleotides long. Lineage: Eukaryota; Fungi; Basidiomycota; Agaricomycetes; Agaricales; Mycenaceae. The record is from the annotation of a GenBank genome assembly.